This 484-nucleotide ribosomal RNA is filed under the name uncultured bacterium. Its description in RNAcentral is "partial 16S ribosomal RNA". It matches the Rfam family "Bacterial small subunit ribosomal RNA", at positions 30 to 507 of the family's 1533-position model. The record is from RNAcentral.
AUUGAACGCUGGCGGCAGGCCUAACACAUGCAAGUCGAGCGGAUGAAGGGAGCUUGCUCCUGGAUUCAGCGGCGGACGGGUGAGUAAUGCCUAGGAAUCUGCCUGGUAGUGGGGGAUAACGUCCGGAAACGGGCGCUAAUACCGCAUACGUCCUGAGGGAGAAAGUGGGGGAUCUUCGGACCUCACGCUAUCAGAUGAGCCUAGGUCGGAUUAGCUAGUUGGUGGGGUAAAGGCCUACCAAGGCGACGAUCCGUAACUGGUCUGAGAGGAUGAUCAGUCACACUGGAACUGAGACACGGUCCAGACUCCUACGGGAGGCAGCAGUGGGGAAUAUUGGACAAUGGGCGAAAGCCUGAUCCAGUCAUGCCGCGUGUGUGAAGAAGGUCUUCGGAUUGUAAAGCACUUUAAGUUGGGAGGAAGGGCAGUAGGAUAAUACCUUGCUGUUUUGACGUUACCAACAGAAUAAGCACCGGCUAACUUCGUG